Molecule: ribosomal RNA, 253 nt
Filed under: uncultured bacterium
Lineage: Bacteria
Description: partial 16S ribosomal RNA
Rfam family: Bacterial small subunit ribosomal RNA
Source: RNAcentral
UACGGAGGGGGCGAGCGUUAUUCGGAAUUACUGGGCGUAAAGCGCGCGCAGGUGGCGUAGUAAGUGGUUGGUGAAAGCCCUCGGCUCAACCGAGGAAUUGCCUGCCAAACUACUGCGCUUGAGGCCGGGAGGGGAGAGCGGAAUUCCUGGUGUAGCGGUGAAAUGCGUAGAUACCAGGAGGAACACCGGUGGCGAAGGCGGCUCUCUGGACCGGUUCUGACGCUCAUGCGCGAAAGCGUGGGGAGCAAACAGG